RNAcentral lists this transfer RNA (76 nucleotides) under Planctomycetota bacterium. Its description in RNAcentral is "Planctomycetes bacterium (activated sludge metagenome) tRNA-Lys". It matches the Rfam family "tRNA". Rfam says of the family: Transfer RNA (tRNA) molecules are approximately 80 nucleotides in length. Their secondary structure includes four short double-helical elements and three loops (D, anti-codon, and T loops). Lineage: Bacteria; Pseudomonadati; Planctomycetota. The record is from RNAcentral.
GCCGGAUUAGCUCAAUCGGCAGAGCAGCUUACUCUUAAUCAGCGGGUUCGGGGUUCGAGUCCCUGAUCCGGUACCA